This 1293-nucleotide ribosomal RNA is filed under the name Triticum aestivum (bread wheat). RNAcentral describes it as "partial small subunit ribosomal RNA". Lineage: Eukaryota; Viridiplantae; Streptophyta; Magnoliopsida; Poales; Poaceae. The record is from RNAcentral.
AUGACAACAUGCGCCGCGCUGAUGCAGUGGAUACCAUGUGUUCAUGGCUGUAAACUCUGCCCGGAGUCUCAACUCUCAACUCUCAACUCGCAUCCGAUUGUUCUGCGGGACAAGAGCAAGACGACCGCAUUCGUCGGCCGGCGUUCGUCGAGAGACCAGGAAAUGGAGCCGUACGUCGCCCUCUUGGCCUACCUACAACGGUUCGCAGCUUCGGUUUCCGCGGCGAGCUGCGACGCGGAGGCGACGGGGGAUGGCGGCGGCGAUGUCUGCCGCAACGAGGCGGCGGCGCUGCAGCUCAAGAUAGUCGCCGUCGCCGCUAUCCUUGUCUCGAGCGCCGCCGGCGUCGCCAUCCCGCUCGUCGGCCACAGGUGGCGUGGCGGGGUUCGAGCCGGUGAGGGCGGGUGGGCGUUCCUGCUCGCCAAGGCGUUCGCGGCGGGGGUAGUCCUGGGCACGGGGUACGUGCACAUGAUGCACGACGCGGAGGAGAAAUUCUUGGACCCGUGCCUCCCGGACUCGUCGCCGUGGCGGCAGUUCCCCUUCGCGGGCUCUGUCGCCAUGCUCGCCAGCCUCGUCACGCUCGUGGUCGACUUCAUCGGCACACAGUUUUACGAGCGUAAGCAGCGCGAUAUGGCCGCUGCCGCCUCCGCCACAACGAGCGCCCAACAUGAGACGGGGUCGCCACUGCUGGAGGACGGGAGGACUACAGGGGGCGAGAAGUGUAAAGCCGACCUUGGGCACAGCCAUGCGCACGUCUACGAAGGAGUAGUGCACAACGGCCAUGGCCACGAGAACGAGGAGGGCCCGUCCCAAGCUCGUCAAGUGGUGGUUUCGCAGAUUUUGGAACUUGGAAUUGUAUCACACUCGGUGAUCAUCGGGCUAUCACUAGGUAUUUCGCAGAGCACGUGUACAAUCAAGCCUCUGGUUGCUGCCCUCUCCUUCCACCAGUUCUUUGAGGGUUUUGCACUGGGUGACUGCAUUUCUCAGGCUCAGCUGAAGGAUCUCUCUAUGCUUUUGAUGGCGUUCUUCUUUGCCAUCACAACACCCGCCGGGAUCGCUGCAGGCUCCGCCAUGGCAUCAUUCUACAACCCGUACAGCCCCCGUGCUUUGGUGGUGGAGGGUAUUCUUAAUGCCAUGUCGGCUGGUGUACUGAUCUAUAUGGCACUGGUGGAUCUCAUCGCGGCUGAUUUUCUUGGUCGGAGGAUGAGCAACAACCCGACCAUCUUGCAGGUUGGUGCAUAUGUCUCCCUGUUUCUUGGGGCCAUAGCCAUGGCAUCCCUUGCUAUCUGGACUUAG